CCUACGGGAGGCAGCAGUGAGGAAUAUUGGUCAAUGGGCGGGAGCCUGAACCAGCCAAGCCGCGUGAGGGAAGAAGGUACAGCGUAUCGUAAACCUCUUUUGUCAGGGACCAAAGGCGGGGACUAGUCCCCGGAUGAGGGUACCUGACGAAAAAGCAUCGGCUAACUCCGUGCCAGCAGCCGCGGUAAUACGGAGGAUGCGAGCGUUAUCCGGAUUUAUUGGGUUUAAAGGGUGCGCAGGCGGCCUGUUAAGUCAGCGGGAAAAGCCCGGGGCUCAACCCCGGCGAGCCGUUGAAACUGGCGGGCUGGAGUUGGAGAGAAGUACGCGGAAUGCGCGGUGUAGCGGUGAAAUGCUUAGAUAUCGCGCAGAACCCCGAUUGCGAAGGCAGCGUACCGGCUCCACACUGACGCUGAGGCACGAAAGCGUGGGUAUCGAACAGGAUUAGAUACCCGAGUAGUC
This 459-nucleotide ribosomal RNA is filed under the name uncultured bacterium. RNAcentral's name for it is "partial 16S ribosomal RNA". It matches the Rfam family "Bacterial small subunit ribosomal RNA", at positions 338 to 795 of the family's 1533-position model. The record is from RNAcentral.